RNAcentral lists this ribosomal RNA (815 nucleotides) under uncultured bacterium. Its description in RNAcentral is "bacterial SSU rRNA". It matches the Rfam family "Bacterial small subunit ribosomal RNA", at positions 636 to 1450 of the family's 1533-position model. The record is from RNAcentral.
UNUGACUUGAGUGCAGAAGGGGAGAGUGGAAUUCCAUGUGUAGCGGUGAAAUGCGUAGAUAUAUGGAGGAACACCAGUGGCGAAAGCGGCUCUCUGNUCUGUCACUGACGCUGAGGCUNGAAAGCGUGGGUAGCGAACAGGAUUAGAUACCCUGGUAGUCCACGCCGUAAACGAUGAGUGCUAGGUGUUAGGCCCUUUCCGGGGCUUAGUGCCGGAGCUAACGCAAUAAGCACUCCGCCUGGGGAGUACGACCGCAAGGUUGAAACUCAAAGGAAUUGACGGGGGCCCGCACAAGCGGUGGAGCAUGUGGUUUAAUUCGAAGCAACGCGAAGAACCUUACCAGGUCUUGACAUCCCGAUGCUAUUCUUAGAGAUAGGAAGUUACUUCGGUACAUCGGAGACAGGUGGUGCAUGGUUGUCGUCAGCUCGUGUCGUGAGAUGUUGGGUUAAGUCCCGCAACGAGCGCAACCCUUAUUGUUAGUUGCCAUCAUUAAGUUGGGCACUCUAGCGAGACUGCCGGUAAUAAACCGGAGGAAGGUGGGGAUGUCGUCAAAUCAUCAUGCCCCUUAUGACCUGGGCUACACACGUGCUACAAUGGUCGGUACAACGAGUUGCGAGCCGGUGACGGCAAGCUAAUCUCUGAAAGCCGAUCUCAGUUCGGAUUGGAGGCUGCAACUCGCCUCCAUGAAGUCGGAAUCGCUAGUAAUCGCGGAUCAGCACGCCGCGGUGAAUACGUUCCCGGGCCUUGUACACACCGCCCGUCACACCACGAGAGUUUGUAACACCCGAAGUCGGUGAGGUAACCUUUUAGGGGCC